UACGGCGGGAGCUCGCGUUGUUCGGAAUUACUGGGCGUAAAGCGCGCGUAGGCGGUUUUCCAAGUCAGUGGUGAAAGCCCGGGGCUCAACCCCGGAAUAGCCUUUGAGACUGGAAAACUAGAGUCUUGGAGAGGUCAGUGGAAUUCCGAGUGUAGAGGUGAAAUUCGUAGAUAUGCGGAAGAACACCAGUGGCGAAGGCGACUGACUGGACAAGUAUUGACGCUGAGGUGCGAAAGCGUGGGGAGCAAACAGG
Molecule: ribosomal RNA, 253 nt
Filed under: uncultured bacterium
Lineage: Bacteria
Description: partial 16S ribosomal RNA
Rfam family: Bacterial small subunit ribosomal RNA
Source: RNAcentral